RNAcentral lists this ribosomal RNA (441 nucleotides) under uncultured bacterium. RNAcentral describes it as "partial 16S ribosomal RNA". It matches the Rfam family "Bacterial small subunit ribosomal RNA", at positions 338 to 795 of the family's 1533-position model. The record is from RNAcentral.
CCUACGGGAGGCAGCAGUGGGGAAUAUUGCACAAUGGGGGAAACCCUGAUGCAGCGACGCCGCGUGGGUGACGAAGGAUUUCGGGAUGUAAAGCCCUAUCAGCAGGGAAGAAGAUGACAGUACCUGACGAAGAAGCCACGGCUAACUACGUGCCAGCAGCCGCGGUAAUACGUAGGGGGCAAGCGUUAUCCGGAUUUACUGGGUGUCAAGGGAGCGUAGGUGGCCUGGCAAGCCAGAAGUGAAAACCCGGGGCUUAACCCCUCGGAUUGCUUUUGAAACUGGCAGGCUGGAGUGCAGGAGGCGCAGGCGGAAUUCCUGGUGUAGCCGUGAAAUGCGUAGAUAUCAGGAGGAACACCGGUGGCGAAGGCGGCCUGCUGGACUGUAACUGACACUGAGGCUCGAAAGCGUGGGGAGCAAACAGGCUUAGAUACCCCGGUAGUC